RNAcentral lists this ribosomal RNA (497 nucleotides) under uncultured bacterium. Its description in RNAcentral is "partial 16S ribosomal RNA". It matches the Rfam family "Bacterial small subunit ribosomal RNA", at positions 28 to 507 of the family's 1533-position model. The record is from RNAcentral.
GAUGAACGCUGGCGGCGUGCCUAAUACAUGCAAGUCGAGCGAACAGACGAGGAGCUUGCUCCUCUGACGUUAGCGGCGGACGGGUGAGUAACACGUGGAUAACCUACCUAUAAGACUGGGAUAACUUCGGGAAACCGGAGCUAAUACCGGAUAAUAUAUUGAACCGCAUUGUUCAAUAGUGAAAGACGGUUUUGCUGUCACUUAUAGAUGGAUCCGCGCCGCAUUAGCUAGUUGGUAAGGUAACGGCUUACCAAGGCAACGAUGCGUAGCCGACCUGAGAGGGUGAUCGGCCACACUGGAACUGAGACACGGUCCAGACUCCUACGGGAGGCAGCAGUAGGGAAUCUUACGCAAUGGGCGAGAGCCUGACGGAACAACGCCGCGUGAGUGAUGAAGGUCUUCGGAUCGGAAAACUCUGUUAUUAGGGAAGAACAAAUGUGUAAGUAGCUAUGCACGUCUUGACGGUACCUAAUCAGAAAGCCACGGCUAACUACGUG